GUGGGUAUAGUUUAAUAAAAACUUUAGGUUGUGAUCCUAAAUAUGAGAGCUAAUUUCUCUACUCACC
RNAcentral lists this transfer RNA (67 nucleotides) under Anilany helenae. RNAcentral describes it as "tRNA-His". It matches the Rfam family "tRNA". From Rfam's summary of the family: Transfer RNA (tRNA) molecules are approximately 80 nucleotides in length. The record is from RNAcentral. Lineage: Eukaryota; Metazoa; Chordata; Amphibia; Anura; Microhylidae.